GAGUUUGAUCCUUGCUCAGGAUGAACGCUGGCGGCAUGCUUAACACAUGCAAGUCGAACGAGCUGUGCUUUUGUACAGAACGUGGCGGACGGGUGAGUAAUUCGUGAGAAUCUGCGUUUAGGUGGGGGAUAAUCUACGGAAACGUUUAAUAAUACCCCAUAAUGCUAUCGUUAGAUAGUGAAAGUGUUUUCGCCUAAACAUGAGCUUACGUCUGAUUAGCUUGUUGGUAGGGUAAAGGCCUACCAAGGCUGUGAUCAGUAGUUGAUUUGAGAGAGUGAUCAACCACACUGGGACUGAGAUACGGAACAGACUUCUACGGAAGGCAGCAGUGGGGAAUUUUGCACAAUGGGCGAAAUGCCUGAUGCAGCAAUGCCGCGUGGGGGAAGAAGGUAUUUUUUAUUGUAAACCCCUUUUCUCAUUGAAGAAUAGUUGACGGUAUUUGAGGAAUAAGCAUCGGCUAAUUCUGUGCCAGCAGCCGCGGUAAUACAGGAGAUGCAAGCGUUAUCCGGAAUUAUUGGGCGUAAAGGGUACGUAGGCUGUUAAAUAUGUUCAAUAUUAAAAUUUAGAGCUCAACUUUGAACUUGUAUUGAAAACUAUUUGACUUGAGUGUAAUAGGGGUAAAGGGAAUUUCCAGUGUAGCGGUGAAAUGCGUAGAUAUUGGAAAGAACACCGGCGGCGAAGGCGCUUUACUAGGUUACUACUGACGCUGAGGUACGAAAGCUAAGGUAAUGAUUAGGAUUAGAUACCCUAGUAGUCUUAGCUGUAAACGAUGGAUACUAAAUGGUGUUUUACGCACUGUUAAAGCUAACGCGUUAAGUAUCCCGCCUGGGGAGUACGCUUGCAAAAGUGAAACUCAAAGGAAUUGACGGGGGCCUGCACAAGCGGUGGAGCGUGCGGUUUAAUUCGAUGCUACACGAAGAAUCUUACCAGAACUUGACAUGUUAAGUUGCUAUUGAAAGAUAGUUAUUCCUUUUGGAACUUAAACACAGGUGGUGCAUGGUUGUCGUCAGUUCGUGUUGUGAAAUAUUUAGUUAAGUCUAGUAACGAACGCAACCCUCUUUUCUAGUUGUUUUUUUAAUAUCUAGAAAGACUGCCGGUUAUAAAUCGGAGGAAGGAGAGGAUGAGGUCAAAUCAUCAUGCCCCUUAUGUUCUGGGCUACACGCGCGCUACAAUGGGUGAGACAAUGGGUUGCCACUUUGUGAAAAGGAGCUAAUCUCAAAAACUCAUCCUCAGUUCAGAUUGAAGGCUGAAACUCGCCUUCAUUAAGAUGGAAUCGCUAGUAAUCGUCAAUCAGAUAUGUGACGGUGAAUACGUACUCAGGCCUUGUACACACCGCCCGUCACACCAUGGAAGUUAGCUAUGCUUGAAGAUAUACUCCUAACAUUUUGAGGGGGGUUUUUAUGGCCGAGUUGAUAACUGGGGUGAAGUCGUAACAAGGUAGCCGUACUGGAAGG
This 1454-nucleotide ribosomal RNA is filed under the name Trachelomonas hispida. RNAcentral's name for it is "bacterial SSU rRNA". It matches the Rfam family "Bacterial small subunit ribosomal RNA". The record is from RNAcentral. Lineage: Eukaryota; Euglenozoa; Euglenophyceae; Euglenales; Euglenaceae.